Molecule: ribosomal RNA, 618 nt
Filed under: uncultured fungus
Lineage: Eukaryota; Fungi
Description: eukaryotic LSU rRNA
Rfam family: Eukaryotic large subunit ribosomal RNA
Source: RNAcentral
CCCGCUGAACUUAAGCAUAUCAAUAAGCGGAGGAAAAGAAACCAACAGGGAUUGCCUUAGUAACGGCGAGUGAAGCGGCAACAGCUCAAAUUUGAAAUCUGGCCCUCGGGUCCGAAUUGUAAUUUGUAGAGGAUGAUUUUGGUGCGGUAUCUUCCGAGUUCCUUGGAACAGGACGCCUUAGAGGGUGAGAGCCCCGUACGGUUGAAUGCCUAGCCUCUGUAAAUCUCCUUCGACGAGUCGAGUAGUUUGGGAAUGCUGCUCUAAAUGGGAGGUAAAUUUCUUCUAAAGCUAAAUAUUGGCCAGAGACCGAUAGCGCACAAGUAGAGUGAUCGAAAGAUGAAAAGCACUUUGAAAAGAGGGUUAAAUAGCGCGUGAAAUUGUUGAAAGGGAAGGAUUUGUGACCAGACUUUUUCUGGGCGGAUCAUCCGGGGUUCUCUCCGGUGCACUUUGCCCAGUAAAGGCCAGCAUCGAUUUUCGGCGGCGGAUAAAAGCAGUGGGAAUGUGGCUCCCUACGGGGAGUGUUAUAGCCCAUUGUAUAAUACGCUGCUGGGGAUCGAGGUACGCGCUUCUGCAAGGAUGCUGGCGUAAUGGUUAUCAAUCACCCGUCUUGAAACACGG